Drosophila montana is the source of this 979-nucleotide long non-coding RNA. RefSeq lists it as uncharacterized. The transcript is spliced from 2 exons. The record is from RefSeq and is a predicted model, not a curated record. NCBI's taxonomy places the organism in Eukaryota, Metazoa, Arthropoda, Insecta, Diptera, Drosophilidae.
UUUUCCUUUCUUGAUAGUGUUCUGUUUUUCUAUCUUUCCUUCAAUUCCUAACUCAAUGAUUUUCGAUUGUGUAUCUGACACGUGUCCAGAUGCCAUGAUGAGUUUGGGCGAAGCUGCCCCACCUUCCAAUUAAAGUCCGUUGCGUGCAAUUGCUGGAGUUGUCAUAGAUAAUCAUCUCGUCCCAAUCGAUCAACUCGAAACAAAAACCCUUCAUUAUAAUCAAAAUAUGCAAGCAUUAGUGUACAUAUGUCAAUUGCAAUUGAAAUUAACAAGCGCAAUCUUAAGUUCUAAAUAAGAAAUUUGUUAAUUAGUCGAUAAAAGUCUUAACUGUCAAUGUUUCAAUUCCACUGUUUCCCAGUCGCGGUUAGCUGUAUAUGAAAUGUGCCGUUUUAAAAGUCAUUUAGUUAUCGAUAGCUUUGUUUUGAGCUUGUCAGAUUGGGAGUCAAGGUGUGCGAGUGCGGAAACUCUCUCAAUUUAUAAUUUCUGACUUUUAUUAGAUAUUUUUUGUUUGUUUUGGAUUUUCAGUUUUUGUUUUAUUUUGACUAUUAAUGUAACUGUGAAUCCAGGCAAUAAGAAAGCAGCAGACAACUCUCAACCAAAGCACAGCAUUGCGAGUAUGCCAAAAUCAUCAACACCGAAGAGCAAAACAAUUAGCAUGGGUCGUACCAAAGAAUGUCGCGGUCGUAUGUGUGUGCACACAUAUGUUGUUGAAUGUGUCACACAUUUAAGCAUCAUAUCCAUGUUCCAUAUGCCCAGGACGAACUAUGUUGGAAUAUUGAUUAUUGUGACUGCAUUGAUUUAACUGAAAGCGGCUUCUGUAUAUGUGAGCUGAGAUGCGUUUUGUGAGUGGAACUAUCAAUACUAUUUGAUAGUUCUAUAAAAGGGAAUAUAUAUACACAUAGAUAUAUAUAUAUAUACAUAUAUAUAAUGAAUAAUUUCAUUAAAUAAACUCUUCAGAUAUACGCGAAGAAAAUUGUAA